GCAACAAACCUGUGAAAAUCCCAUCACUGGUCAACCUCACACACUUUCUUCCAACACCCAAAAAUCACCUGUCAAAACCAAUUUCCAAAUCUCUGCCAAGUCAAAAAGUGUUCGCUUCCUCACUCUCCUCCGCUCCGUCCCUCCACAUCUCCCCAACUUUCUCUGCAAAUCUUUCAACAACCAAAACGAGGAAAAAGACGAGAAUUUUUUGAAAACUAUAGGGAAGAAGAGGCCCGGAAGAUAUCAGGUAUGUGUGGGAUUUUUGCAUAUUUAAAUUUUGACGUUAGGAGGGAGAGACGCUACAUUUUGGAACUGCUUUUCAAUGGCCUACGCCGCUUGGAGUACAGAGGCUAUGAUUCCGCAGGAAUAUCUAUUGAUUCUUCGUUUAGUUUGGAUUGCGACGCCGUCCCUCCCCCUCUGGUCUUCCGCCAAGAAGGCAACAUCGAGUCACUUGUCAAAUCUGUCUACCAAGACGUUUCCUUGACGGGUUUGAAUUUGGAAGAGUCAUUCUCGAUUCAUGCUGGAAUAGCACAUACUCGGUGGGCUACGCAUGGGGAGCCAGCUCCAAGGAAUAGUCAUCCCCAGUCCUCUGAUCCAGGAAAUGAGUUUUUGGUUGUUCAUAAUGGAGUUAUAACCAAUUAUAUGGUGUUAAAAGAGACACUAGUUCGUCAAGGUUUCAGUUUUGAAUCUGAAACAGAUACAGAAGUCAUACCAAAGCUUGCAAAGUUCAUCUUUGAUAAUACGAAAGAAGAAGGUGACAAGAGUGUGACAUUUAGUCAAAUUGUACUUGAAGUUAUGAGACAUCUGGAAGGAGCCUAUGCUCUCAUUUUCAAAAGUCGGCACUAUCCAAAUGAAUUGAUUGCAUGUAAACGUGGUAGUCCACUGCUCCUUGGCGUAAAAGAAUUAAGUGAAGAAGCCAGUAUUGGAGCGUCUUUUGACGACACUAAAUUUCUUUCGAGCAACGGGCAACCGAAGGAAUUGUUCCUGUCAAGUGAUCCCAGUGCCCUAGUGGAGCACACAAAAAAGGUCUUGGUGAUCGAGGAUGGUGAAGUUGUUCAUCUGAAGGAUGGACGUGCAUCAAUUUUCAAGUUUGACCGUGCUAAAGGUGAACAUGCUGGAGCUUUGGCUCGGCCAGAUUCUGUUCAACGUGCAUUAUCGGUUCUGGAAAUGGAAGUUGAACAAAUUAAUAAAGGGAAGUAUGAACAUUACAUGCAGAAAGAAAUCCAUGAACAACCAGAAUCUCUUACAACAACAAUGCGAGGGAGGCUCAUACGUGGAGGAUCAUGCAAAUCCAAGAGUGUCCUCCUAGGGGGUAUAAAGGAUCAUCUCAAAACCAUAAGGAGAAGCAGAAGGAUAGUUUUCAUUGGCUGUGGCACAAGUUAUAAUGCUGCUUUAGCUGCAAGGCCCAUUUUAGAAGAACUUUCUGGUAUUCCUGUAUCAGUAGAAAUUGCUAGUGAUCUACUAGAUAGGCAGGGGCCCAUAUACAGAGAAGAUACAGCUAUCUUUGUUAGUCAAUCAGGUGAAACUGCUGAUACUUUACAGGCAUUGGAAUAUGCAUUAGAAAAUGGUGCAUUAUGUGUUGGCAUCACAAAUACUGUCGGUAGCGCAAUUGCCAGGCACACCCACUGUGGUGUUCAUAUAAAUGCUGGCUGUGAGAUAGGUGUUGCAAGUACUAAGGCAUACACAAGCCAAAUUGUAGUCAUGGCUAUGUUGGCUCUUGCAAUUGGAGAUGACACAUUAUCUAGUCAAGCAAGAAGGGAAGCGAUUAUAGAUGGUCUAUUUGACUUGCCAAGUAAAGUGAAAGAUGUUCUCAAGCUUGACCAGGAAAUGAAAAAUCUUGCGCAGUUGCUGAUUGCUGAGCAAUCACUUCUUGUUUUUGGAAGAGGAUAUAACUAUGCAACAGCUUUGGAAGGUGCCUUGAAGGUAAAAGAAGUAGCGCUUAUGCAUAGUGAAGGAAUACUUGCUGGUGAGAUGAAACAUGGACCCUUGGCUUUAGUUGAUGAAACUCUACCUAUUGUUGUUGUUGCCACCCGAGAUGCUUGUUUCAGCAAGCAGCAGUCAGUCAUUCAGCAACUUCAUGCUCGGAAGGGUCGACUUAUAGUGAUGUGCACUAAAGGAGAUGCAUCAUCUGUGUGCGUUGGUGGAUCUUGCCGUGUAAUUGAAGUUCCUCAGGUUGAGGACUGUCUACAACCUGUGAUUAACAUAGUUCCCUUGCAGCUUCUGGCAUAUCAUCUAACCGUACUACGAGGAUACAAUGUUGAUCAGCCCAGAAAUCUGGCAAAGAGUGUGACUACUCAGUGAUAUAUGUGAUCUUCCCCUCUUGCAGUUUCUUUAACAUGUCCCGGACAGACCUCAUCUGCUAUCUUUUGCUAAGCUGCUCCGUGUUCGACCUCUUCCAAUAUACCAUUUCCAGGGAAGUGAGUUUGAAGCGUGACAACGGCAUAUAGGAGCCUGUCCCGCACGGAUCAAGUGAUCUUGUGACAGAUGACUGUACAGUAACAUAUUGCUGAAACGUCGUCGGUAAAUUAUUCAUGUUUUCUGUAAUCACUGUAUCCAUCAGCCCCGACCCGUAUUUGUUUAUGAAACUCAAAUUGUUCAUUCUCUGUUCUUUGCAACUACUUCUACAACUGCAUUGUUUUUCGUUAUUCCGGUGUAGUAAGUUUGUGAAGACAGGUAACAUGAAAGAACGUGAAUACUUCACAACAAACGACGCCAACGGCAGACGCUGUAUGAUUAUAUAUGCAUCAGAGCUCACACUUUGUUUGGAUCUGUUCCUAGU
Sesamum indicum (sesame) is the source of this 2779-nucleotide RNA transcript. It is a transcript of the gene named glutamine--fructose-6-phosphate aminotransferase [isomerizing] 1, with no coding region annotated. NCBI's taxonomy places the organism in Eukaryota, Viridiplantae, Streptophyta, Magnoliopsida, Lamiales, Pedaliaceae. The record is from RefSeq and is a predicted model, not a curated record.